UACCAGCAUUUCUCUUUGCUGAUAAUCCCAGUGGUGCCUUGCAAACGGGAUUACAACAGUACCAUUUUUUUUUUCUCAUUAAGUGGGCUCUUUUAGGUUGUCGUGGCCAAAACUGGCAGGCAGCAAUACACGGAGGUAACUCCUAGUGCAUCACCUGCCGUGAAAGCUGGCAGUGCUCAGCUCCUUGCUGAUCCACAGGGAUGUGAAGGACGUUAAGGAAAUGGUGAGAUCAGACUCGGGGGUGUGUAAUGCAUCUCCUGCCUCGAUGUUCCCAUCUGCAGCCCCUGCAGUGAGCCCUCGUGCAAAUUCAGCAGCUGGAGCCUCUGAGCUAAUUGUUCAGGUUUUCUGCAUGAGAGCAGAACUGCUGGUGGAGGCUGACCUUGUUAAGACACGCUCUUUGGCUCGUCAGAGUGAAUCAGCACAAAAGACAGUAAACCAGAUGUUUCCAUAAUGGCUUUGAAGGAUGUGGAGGGAUUUGCUGCGGUUGCCCGGGUGUAAUGGAGAGCAGUACAUUGUGUUCUUGGUUAUCCUCCCCCUCUGACACUCAGAGGGCCUUAUUCCGCUCACUUCAGUUCCUCUUCUCUUCUCCUUUUCUCCUGGACACAGCUUUCUCAAUCACAACGAAAUAAAUCUUGCGACAGGCUGCGCUGGAGGCCGGCUCUGACUGCUCGGGGCUCUUCAGGGCCAGAAGUCACUUCUCCUCCUCUUGACCCCUGGACACGCAUGUCUGUGCUGGCAGAUGCUCUGCUGUUUGAGGGGGACUCUUGCCAUCUAGUGGGAGGGGAUGGGUUAAGGUUAGAAACGCAAGAAAGAUGGACGUGCUUUCUCCAUGAUGUGCUGCUCUUGUUCAAGCUGCCUGGGACCGAGAAGGAACAGCUGCUGCCUUCUUUGGUGGCUGCAAAAGAGCUCUGUCAUGCAAGGGCCCCUCCCAGAAUGGAAGCAGCUCUGGCUGACGGUGCUUUGGGUUCCAGUUGCCACAUGGCCGUGGGACUGUGCAAACCUUGCCAUGGUUCGGGUGGAGCAGCAACCAAAUAAAAAGGGUGAGAGGAUGAGGUCUGGGAAAUCCGUUCAGCCACCACCAAGCUCCUAAUGUGCAAGUCAUAGAAAUUCCAGUAGGGAUUAAGCAAUUUACAUCAAUUACAUUGGUUUAUCCCUCUGUUGAGGGAUGCAUUAACCUACUUUUCUAGAACCAUUGGUGUUUUUUAGCCAUCUGUGAGCCCAAAAGCAGGGAUCUAACCCCAACUGCACGUUGCAAGGAUAUUCCACUGGGGCCAAUUGGUGUGAAAAUUGCCACGUGUCGCUAACACCUCGCCGAACAGCCAGGUCCUUCAGUUCUUCAGAUAUCAUCUGGACCAUCUCAGAGCAGAGCAACCUUUACGGAGCUCGGCGUAUCCGCUGUGUGUAUUCGAUAGGUCAAGGCGACCUGGGUGAGAUUUGGACCUGCGGCUCCAGAGAGUCUACAGCGUGAAAGCAUAAGGCUCAGCGAGGCAAAUUAGCCUACCCUUUUAAAAAAAACUGAAGAUUAGAGGAGAUUAUAGAACCUAAUAGCGCAUGGCUAAUUUUUGGGAGCACAGACCAUGACUGUGGCUGCUUGGUCAAAUCCAGUCUUGACUUGUCCAUACGGCAAGGUGUGUGCUUCGGGCAGAUACAGAAGGAAACACCUCGGGUGCUGGCGUGGGGCUCUUCAGGAGGGUGCUCGGGCACUGGAAUGGGCUCCCCAGGGCAGUGUUCACAGCACUGAGCCUGACGGAGUUCAAGAGGCAUUUUCAGAUGUAUGGUUUGAUUUUGGGGUGGUCCUGUGUGUAGGUGGACUUGAUGAUCCUUGUGGGCCCCUUCCAACUCAGGAUAUCCUACGUGGUUUCCCUGGUCUCUUCUUUACGUGAUCAAAUGAUGCAAACCCAGCUGAAGCAGCAUUUUUUUUCCUGUAGAUGGUGUGAUUUUGAGAGCCUUUUUCUUAUUUAUUUGUUAAUUUAUUUUGCUGGGUGCUUGUCUUUUAGUCCUAACCAGCUGCAAUACGAAGGGGGCAGCAAAUUGC
RNAcentral lists this long non-coding RNA (2035 nucleotides) under Anas platyrhynchos platyrhynchos (common mallard). Its description in RNAcentral is "lncRNA (ENSAPLG00000017223.1)". The record is from RNAcentral. Lineage: Eukaryota; Metazoa; Chordata; Aves; Anseriformes; Anatidae.